AUUGAACGCUGGCGGCAGGCCUAACACAUGCAAGUCGAACGGUAACAGGAAGAAGCUUGCUUCUUUGCUGACGAGUGGCGGACGGGUGAGUAAUGUCUGGGAAACUGCCUGAUGGAGGGGGAUAACUACUGGAAACGGUAGCUAAUACCGCAUAACGUCGCAAGACCAAAAAGGGGGACCUUCGGGCCUCUUGCCAUCGGAUGUGCCCAGAUGGGAUUAGCUAGUAGGUGGGGUAACGGCUCACCUAGGCGACGAUCCCUAGCUGGUCUGAGAGGAUGACCAGCCACACUGGAACUGAGACACGGUCCAGACUCCUACGGGAGGCAGCAGUGGGGAAUAUUGCACAAUGGGCGCAAGCCUGAUGCAGCCAUGCCGCGUGUAUGAAGAAGGCCUUCGGGUUGUAAAGUACUUUCAGCGGGGAGGAAGGGAGUAAAGUUAAUACCUUGCUCAUUGACGUACCCGCAGAA
This 467-nucleotide ribosomal RNA is filed under the name Escherichia coli. RNAcentral's name for it is "bacterial SSU rRNA". It matches the Rfam family "Bacterial small subunit ribosomal RNA", at positions 30 to 486 of the family's 1533-position model. Lineage: Bacteria; Pseudomonadati; Pseudomonadota; Gammaproteobacteria; Enterobacterales; Enterobacteriaceae. The record is from RNAcentral.